UGCAGUCGAACGGACCUUGUGCGUAGCACAAGGAAAUUCGAAGUACAAAGUAUUAAAUCCGAAACAAAAUUAAUUGAUGGUGCUUGAAAUAAAAGAUUAAGAUUAAGUAUUUACGUAUAGAUAUUCGGAUUUAGGAUCUCGGAUUUUCUCGUGCUACGCACGAGGUUAGUGGCGGACGGGUGAGUAACACGUAGGUAACCUACCCUCAAGAGGGGGACAACCCCGAGAAAUCGUGGCUAAUACCGCAUAAGACCACGGGUUGAGAUAUCUGUGGUAAAAGGAGAAAUCCGCUUGAGGAUGGGCCUGCGGCCUAUCAGGUAGUUGGUAGGGUAAUAGCCUACCAAGCCUAAGACGGGUAGCCGGACUGAGAGGUCGGACGGCCACACUGGGACUGAGACACGGCCCAGACUCCUACGGGAGGCAGCAGUGGGGAAUAUUGCGCAAUGGGGGAAACCCUGACGCAGCGACGCCGCGUGGAGGAUGAAGGCCUUCGGGUUGUAAACUCCUUUUCUUGGGGAAAAUGAUGAUGGUACCCAAGGAAUAAGCCACGGCUAACUCUGUGCCAGCAGCCGCGGUAAGACAGAGGUGGCAAGCGUUGUUCGGAAUUACUGGGCUUAAAGGGCGCGUAGGCGGUGAUACAAGUCUAA
Molecule: ribosomal RNA, 647 nt
Filed under: uncultured bacterium
Lineage: Bacteria
Description: bacterial SSU rRNA
Rfam family: Bacterial small subunit ribosomal RNA
Source: RNAcentral